RNAcentral lists this ribosomal RNA (500 nucleotides) under uncultured bacterium. RNAcentral describes it as "bacterial SSU rRNA". It matches the Rfam family "Bacterial small subunit ribosomal RNA", at positions 28 to 510 of the family's 1533-position model. The record is from RNAcentral.
GACGAACGCUGGCGGCGUGCUUAACACAUGCAAGUCUACGGGAAAAGGGGUAGCAAUACUCCUGAGUAUAGUGGCGCACGGGUGAGUAAUAUGUAAGUAAUCUGCCUAUAGAAUUGGAAUAACGACGAGAAAUCGUCGCUAAUACCGAAUGAUGCAGCGGCACCGCAUGGUGAUGUUGUUAAAGUUGCAGCAAUGUAAUGUCUAUAGAUGAGCUUGCAUCUGAUUAGCUAGUUGGUAGGGUAAAGGCCUACCAAGGCAACGAUCAGUAGCUGGUCUGAGAGGAUGAUCAGCCACACUGGAACUGAGACACGGUCCAGACUCCUACGGGAGGCAGCAGUGAGGAAUAUUGGGCAAUGCCCGCAAGGGUGACCCAGCAACGCCGCGUGGAGGAUGAAUGCCGUAAGGUUGUAAACUCCUGUGAGAAGGGAUGAAAGCCCAUGAUUCGUAAGGGUCAUGGUUUGACCGUACCUUCAGAGGAAACCCCGGCUAACUACGUGCCA